GAUGAACGCUGGCGGCGUGCCUAAUACAUGCAAGUCGAGCGAACAGACGAGGGGCUUGCUCCUCUGACGUUAGCGGCGGACGGGUGAGUAACACGUGGAUAACCUACCUAUAAGACUGGGAUAACUUCGGGAAACCGGAGCUAAUACCGGAUAACAUGUUGAACCGCAUGGUUCAACAGUGAAAGACGGUCUUGCUGUCACUUAUAGAUGGAUCCGCGCCGCAUUAGCUAGUUGGUAAGGUAACGGCUUACCAAGGCAACGAUGCGUAGCCGACCUGAGAGGGUGAUCGGCCACACUGGAACUGAGACACGGUCCAGACUCCUACGGGAGGCAGCAGUAGGGAAUCUUCCGCAAUGGGCGAAAGCCUGACGGAGCAACGCCGCGUGAGUGAUGAAGGUCUUCGGAUCGUAAAACUCUGUUAUUAGGGAAGAACAAAUGUGUAAGUAACUAUGCACGUCUUGACGGUACCUAAUCAGAAAGCCACGGCUAACUACGUG
This 497-nucleotide ribosomal RNA is filed under the name uncultured bacterium. RNAcentral describes it as "partial 16S ribosomal RNA". It matches the Rfam family "Bacterial small subunit ribosomal RNA", at positions 28 to 507 of the family's 1533-position model. The record is from RNAcentral.